RNA transcript from Lolium rigidum, 830 nucleotides. RefSeq lists it as uncharacterized. Lineage: Eukaryota; Viridiplantae; Streptophyta; Magnoliopsida; Poales; Poaceae. The record is from RefSeq and is a predicted model, not a curated record. The transcript is spliced from 3 exons.
AUUCUAACGCGAGCGCCGACCGGGCGGCGGGGUUGGCUCUGCAUCGGCGUCCACCCUCCCCUCGGGCAGCCUCGUAGAAAGUGACUGACCAGCCUCGGGCAGGCACCCUCCCCCUAGGGCACCUCAGCGUCGCCGUCGCCUCCUUUUAUUUGUGGCGGCGCGCGCAUCGCUCCCCCAUCCGUAUCGCUCUCGUUGUCAGCCGGAGAACCAACAAGCCCACCUUCGAAUCUAUAUUCGAACGGGGGAAAAAGAUAGCGAUGGAUUUCCCUCUGGAUCCGGUGAGCAGGUUUGCAGUCUACCAAUCUGUGAUGCAUGCCCAGCGGAGGUAGCCGUCUUGAGCUUGCAUGGGGACGACUCUGCCAGCAGCUACGCUGGCCCCGCGGCGGCCGGUGCAUCGGUGAUUGGGGAUCUCGCAGACGGAGCUAGUGUCGGAGAUGUCGGCCGCGUGAUGGGAGGCGCUGAUGGCCCUGAUUCCGCGCAGUCAACCGGUAUCGACAAUCCCCAGUCUGCUGGGUGGACGAAGAGGCAACAGGUACAGCUCAAUUUCACCUUACUUGAUCAGGGAGGAAUGCGAGCACUUGAUCAGAUAACAUUCAGUCAACAGCUACAGCUCGAUUUCACCACUUGAUCACGAAGGGCGUCGAGCACUUGAUCAGAGAGGACGGUGAGCACUUGAUUAGAGAGGACGACGGGCACUUGUUCUAGGACAAAGGCGACACACGAGAUGACCAGGUCGAGGAGAAGCAGAGGCCCCGCGGUGGCGCGCUGUCGAGGAGGAGCUGCUCAGCGGAGCAGCGUCGCAGCCAACGAGCGAACGGAGCAGUGGAGCA